Molecule: ribosomal RNA, 433 nt
Filed under: uncultured bacterium
Lineage: Bacteria
Description: partial 16S ribosomal RNA
Rfam family: Bacterial small subunit ribosomal RNA
Source: RNAcentral
AGCGAACGCUGGCGGCAGGCCUAACACAUGCAAGUCGAACGGACCCUUCGGGGUUAGUGGCGGACGGGUGAGUAACACGUGGGAACGUGCCUUUAGGUUCGGAAUAUCUCCUGGAAACGGGUGGUAAUGCCGAAUGUGCCCUUCGGGGGAAAGAUUUAUCGCCUUUAGAGCGGCCCGCGUCUGAUUAGCUAGUUGGUGAGGUAACGGCGCACCAAGGCGACGAUCAGUAGCUGGUCUGAGAGGAUGACCAGCCACACUGGGACUGAGACACGGCCCAGACUCCUACGGGAGGCAGCAGUGGGGAAUCUUGCGCAAUGGGCGAAAGCCUGACGCAGCCAUGCCGCGUGAAUGAUGAAGGUCUUAGGAUUGUAAAAUUCUUUAACCGGGGACGAUAAUGACGGUACCCGGAGAAGAAGCCCCGGCUAACUUCGUG